RNAcentral lists this unclassified non-coding RNA (195 nucleotides) under soil metagenome. RNAcentral's name for it is "partial internal transcribed spacer 1". The record is from RNAcentral.
ACGAGUUAGGGUCUUCUAGGCCCGACCCUCCCAACCCUAUGUUUAUUGAACCUCUGUUGCUUCGGCGGACCCGCCUCACGGCCGCCGUGAGGACCGCUGCUAAGGCGUCCCUCUGGCCAGCGUCCGCCGAUGGCCAACCACUUAAACUCUGAAUGAAUCGUGUCAUAUGUCUAAGUCUAUGAUUAAAUUAAAGCA